This 372-nucleotide ribosomal RNA is filed under the name uncultured bacterium. Its description in RNAcentral is "bacterial SSU rRNA". It matches the Rfam family "Bacterial small subunit ribosomal RNA", at positions 524 to 898 of the family's 1533-position model. The record is from RNAcentral.
UACGGAGGUGGCAAGCGUUACUCGGAAUUAUUGGGUGUAAAGGGCAAGUAGGCGGCUUAAUAAGCGAGGGGUGAAAUCUUCCGACUUAAUCGGAAAACUGCCUUUCGAACUGUUAAACUUGAGGCAAGCAGAGGGAAAUGGAAUUCCCGGUGUAAGGGUGAAAUCUGUAGAUAUCGGGAAGAACACCAACGGCGAAGGCAAUUUCCUGGGCUUGUCCUGACGCUAAAUUGCGAAAGCUAGGGGAGCAAACAGAAUUAGAUACUCUGGUAGUCCUAGCCGUAAACGAUGAGUACUAGGUGUCGGAUCGCAAGAUUCGGUGCCGCAGCUAACGCAUUAAGUACUCCACCUGGGGACUACGGUCGCAAGGCUAAA